Molecule: long non-coding RNA, 650 nt
Organism: Mauremys mutica (yellowpond turtle)
Lineage: Eukaryota; Metazoa; Chordata; Testudines; Geoemydidae
Exons: 4
Source: RefSeq, a predicted model, not a curated record
AGAGCUGUGAGAAGUUGUGCUGUUGGAGAGACUGAGCUGUAUACACCAUACUAGGUACAAGGAAGGAGGCCCUGAGGGCCACCCAAAGGGGGCGGGCAAGUGGGGCAAUUUGCCCCAGGCCUCGAGCCCCGCAGGGGCCCCCGCAAGCCGCUCUGGGUCUUCGGCGGCAGGUCCUCCAGUGCAGCAGAAGACUCGGAGUGAGUGAAGGACCUGUCGCUGAAGUGCUGCCGAAGCCUCGGAGCGCCGCCUGGGAGAGGAAGAAGAGAGAAGGAAACACGUGUGACAGAUGGUAUUCCUACUGAUGAAUUCACCACCAGAACAGCCUACAAUACCACAGUGAUAGGAGCAGUAGAAGAACUGAACAGAAUAAAAUGGAGCCCAGUCAAGGACCAAGACUCUGUUGUAAACAGCACAAAGCUAGAACAAACUCUGGGAGGAAGGUCCUGAGAAAGAAACAUAGAAACAGAGAUUUUGGGGCUGAGUGCUGGCUGAAAGAGGCUUGGGACAUUGAGCAAAGAAACAGCUUCCUGUUCUAUGAUUCCUGCUGUGUUCCAGGAAAAAAGGAUUUUGUACAUUUUUUGAAAAUAAAAGGAUUGCAUCAAAGAAAUACCUGAUUCCAACAUCAAUUUCUCCUCCUAACCAAAACAACC